This 235-nucleotide unclassified non-coding RNA is filed under the name Hevea brasiliensis (rubber tree). The record is from RNAcentral. Lineage: Eukaryota; Viridiplantae; Streptophyta; Magnoliopsida; Malpighiales; Euphorbiaceae.
GCUGUAAGAUAUGAUGUUUCUGGCACUUCACUCAAACUUGUAUGGUCAAAUGAAGUUGAUAGCUAAAACAAACAUAAGCGUUCUCACAAUUAAUUAAACUUGUUUGUCUAAAUGCAAUUAUUCCAGUUACAUUUUCCUCCACAGAGAUGCUACUCAGCUAAAAACUAUAACAAGGACAAAUUUACCACCUUUUAUUGAUGAUGCAAUAGAUGAAUAUCAAACCUGCAAUUCAGAC